This is a non-coding RNA of Coffea arabica (coffee), 1917 nucleotides long. Lineage: Eukaryota; Viridiplantae; Streptophyta; Magnoliopsida; Gentianales; Rubiaceae. The record is from RefSeq and is a predicted model, not a curated record.
CCUUUCUUCCAGCUACCUUCUCUCUCUCCUCCUUUUGGACAAUGUUGCACUCUUGCUUAUCCGGAUGUUCUGAGCUCUGGUACAAGAGCCUGUUGAGAUAUUUGGUUCUCUUCUUACUACACAAUGAGCAUCGAGCCUCUCUCUCUCGGGUUCUCUGGGUUGAAGUGGUCCAAAUCAUCUGCCAUCCGUUCAGUUCUCCUCCUCCUCAUCCUUUGAGCAUCGAGCCUUUGUCUCUCGCGUUCUCUGGGUUGCGGUGGUCCGGAUCAUCUGCCAUACCUUUGGCUCUCCUCCUCCUCCUCUUCCGUUGUAAGAUUUCUUCUUCUUCCUUUCCGGUGAGGUGCAAUCUUCGCUGUGAGUUUUCUCUGAGAGGUACGAUCUUGUCAUCCGUUUGGUUCUUCUCCUCCUCUUUCGUUGUAAGUCUUCUCCUUCCUUUCAGCUUAGGAGCAGUCUUUGUUGUGAGUUUUCUCGGUAAGUUAUAUCCUAGGAUUGGUAUUUCUUCCCUUCUACUUGCGCUAUGUUUGGUUUGGUGGUUCCGGUUUCUGGUCUACAGGUGUUUGCUAUUGGCCUGUGUUCCUGAAGGCCCCUGUGGUGUGUGCCUCAGACGCAAGAAAAAAACAUAUCCCUCUUUCUAUUCUGUCUGGAACCAUACGUGGUUGUGCGUUUUUUGACACGUGAUGUUCUGGUCUUUGGGGUGUUGCGUUUUUUUGUCUUGUGUUUUCCCAAAAAACUGUCGUCUAUGCGUAAAAAAAUAGACUCUGUUGUAACAAAUGCCUCUCCGCCGCUUCUCCUCUCCGCCCCUUUCCUCACCCAAAUGAUACGACCAGUGGAGGCUGUAGCGAUGAGCCUCCUCGCUCUUAGCUUCUUUUUUUUUUUUUUGGUCAAUUUGCAACUUCCUUAUUUUUUUGUCAAUUUGCAGCUUCCUUAUUUGUGUCAGUUUGCAGCUUUGUUAGGCGAUGGCGAUUGGAGAAGUUGGUAUUGAAAUUCUUCAGUGUGUGUUGUGGGCAUCAUUUCUAACUCAAAGUUUGAGAUUUUUGGUAGACCUUUGCAUAGAUUCUGGGUUAGAAAGUCUUUUAUUUUAUCCUAUUUACUUUUCUGAUCAAAUUAAUUUUUUUAUGUUGUUGUUGUGCCGUAUUUUUCUUACCCUUUUCAGAUCGAGUGAUUUUUUUGGUGAUGUUGUUCUUCAUCUUUAAAAAAAAAUCUACACGAAACUGUUUAUCAACAUAAUCCAGGUCAAUUUUGAUGUUGUUUCUUUCUAUCAAUAAAGAAAGAUAGACAUCUUGGAUUCUCUGUUCAGCCAAUUCGGGCAUUUCAUCUGACCCGUUUCAUUAUUCAGCUACAGUAAACUACCUGAGGUUUAUUCCCUGUAAGAGUUUCCACUCUGGCAGAUGUUUGCAAUCAGCAAAGAGCACAAACUCUCGUCCUUUAUUGCCUCCAAAAAACACCUCUAAUUCCUGGAGACCUUAUAUAGUUCAUGGUACUGUUUUGGGUGGAGUUGGUGGUCUCGCAUUUUUUCUUCACUACAAUGACGAGAAGAGGGCUAUCCUUAAAGAUUUUAUUACUUUGACGUGGUAAUCACUUAGAAGUCUGAAACUGAAGUUCUUCUCCUGCAUUUUAUGAAAUACUUGCCAAAAGAUUUGUAUAGCUCCCUCGGUGUUAGUAUUGCAAUUGUAAUUGUUGACCAAAAAAGGUAUACAUUUGUUUGUGUGUGAAAGAGAGAGACAGAUAGAGUGUGUGUCUGAAAAAGAGAGAGAGGGACAGAUUGUGUAUGUUCUCUCUCUCUGUCUCUCACUAUUGGUUGUUUACCCAUCUUUUGCACGGUGUACAACAUAUUCACACACACUCUCUCUCAUAGUUUAUCUCUUCUAUUUGCAUAGUUGCAUAAUCACAAUAUUUGAACUCGAUUUGACUCAUUGCUAA